UACGGGGGGGGCUAGCGUUGUUCGGAAUUACUGGGCGUAAAGAGCGCGUAGGCGGCCGUGCAAGUCGGUUGUGAAAUCCCGGGGCUCAACCCCGGGACUGCGUCCGAUACUGCACGGCUCGAGGCAGGUAGGGGAGAGUGGAAUUCCCGGUGUAGCGGUGAAAUGCGCAGAUAUCGGGAGGAACACCGGUGGCGAAGGCGGCUCUCUGGACCUGUCCUGACGCUGAGGCGCGAAAGCUAGGGGAGCGAACAGG
RNAcentral lists this ribosomal RNA (253 nucleotides) under uncultured bacterium. Its description in RNAcentral is "partial 16S ribosomal RNA". It matches the Rfam family "Bacterial small subunit ribosomal RNA", at positions 524 to 776 of the family's 1533-position model. The record is from RNAcentral.